RNAcentral lists this ribosomal RNA (2883 nucleotides) under Pseudoalteromonas sp. NC201. RNAcentral describes it as "bacterial LSU rRNA". It matches the Rfam family "Bacterial large subunit ribosomal RNA". Lineage: Bacteria; Pseudomonadati; Pseudomonadota; Gammaproteobacteria; Alteromonadales; Pseudoalteromonadaceae. The record is from RNAcentral.
UUAAGUGACUAAGCGUACACGGUGGAUGCCUUGGCAGUUGGAGGCGAUGAAGGACGUACUAACUUGCGAUAAGCCUAGUCAAGCCAGUAAGAGGCGCUUGAGACUAGGAUUUCCGAAUGGGGAAACCCACCUGCUUGCAGGUAUCGUUAACUGAAUACAUAGGUUAACGAGGCGAACGCGGAGAACUGAAACAUCUAAGUACCCGUAGGAAAAGAAAUCAACCGAGAUUCCGAAAGUAGCGGCGAGCGAAAUCGGAGCAGCCCUUAAGCUUUAGUGUAGUUAGUGGAAGAUGCUGGAAAGCAUGACGAAACAGGGUGAUAGUCCCGUACACAAAAACUUAUCUAAAGUGAAAUCGAGUAGGUCGGAGCACGUGAAACUUUGACUGAAUAUGGGGGGACCAUCCUCCAAGGCUAAAUACUCCCAACUGACCGAUAGUGAACCAGUACCGUGAGGGAAAGGCGAAAAGAACCCCUGUGAGGGGAGUGAAAUAGAACCUGAAACCGUGUACGUACAAGCAGUAGGAGCCUACUUGUUGGGUGACUGCGUACCUUUUGUAUAAUGGGUCAGCGACUUAUAUUCUGUAGCGAGGUUAACCAUUUAGGGGAGCCGUAGCGAAAGCGAGUCUUAACUGGGCGCUUAAGUUGCAGGGUAUAGACCCGAAACCCGGUGAUCUAGCCAUGGGCAGGUUGAAGGUUGAGUAACAUCAACUGGAGGACCGAACCCACUAACGUUGAAAAGUUAGGGGAUGACCUGUGGCUAGGAGUGAAAGGCUAAUCAAACCGGGAGAUAGCUGGUUCUCCCCGAAAUCUAUUUAGGUAGAGCCUCGGACGAAUACUUACGGGGGUAGAGCACUGUUAAGGCUAGGGGGUCAUCCCGACUUACCAACCCUUUGCAAACUCCGAAUACCGUAAAGUAAUAUCCGGGAGACACACGGCGGGUGCUAACGUCCGUCGUGGAGAGGGAAACAACCCAGACCGUCAGCUAAGGUCCCAAAGUGUAUGUUAAGUGGGAAACGAUGUGGGAAGGCUAAAACAGCUAGGAGGUUGGCUUAGAAGCAGCCACCCUUUAAAGAAAGCGUAAUAGCUCACUAGUCGAGUCGGCCUGCGCGGAAGAUGUAACGGGGCUAAACAUACCACCGAAGCUACGGCUGCGUACGUAAGUAUGCGGGGUAGGGGAGCGUUCUGUAAGUGGCUGAAGGUGUGCCGGGAGGCAUGCUGGACAUAUCAGAAGUGCGAAUGCUGACAUGAGUAACGACAAGAGGAGUGAAAAACUCCUCCGCCGGAAGACCAAGGGUUCCUAUCCCAUGUUAAUCAGGGUAGGGUGAGUCGACCCCUAAGGCGAGGCUGAAGAGCGUAGUCGAUGGGAAACGGGUUAAUAUUCCCGUACUCGGUAUGAAUGCGAUGGGGGGACGGAGCAGGCUAGGCAAGCAUGGCGUUGGUUGUCCAUGUGAAAGGCUGUAGGCUGGUGACUUAGGAAAAUCCGGGUUGCYAAGGCUGAGAGUCGAGACGAGCCACUAAGGUGGUGAAGUUGUUGAUGCCCUACUUCCAGGAAAAGCCUCUAAGCUUCAGUUCAUACUGAAUCGUACCCUAAACCGACACAGGUGGUCAGGUAGAGAAUACUAAGGCGCUUGAGAGAACUCGGGUGAAGGAACUAGGCAAAAUUGUACCGUAACUUCGGGAGAAGGUACGCUCUUGUUUGUUAAGGACUUGCUCUGUAAGCAAACGAGAGCCGCAGUGACCAGGUGGCUGGGACUGUUUAUUAAAAACACAGCACUGUGCAAAAUCGUAAGAUGACGUAUACGGUGUGACACCUGCCCGGUGCCGGAAGGUUAAUUGAUGGGGUUAGCUUAGGCGAAGCUCUUGAUCGAAGCCCCGGUAAACGGCGGCCGUAACUAUAACGGUCCUAAGGUAGCGAAAUUCCUUGUCGGGUAAGUUCCGACCUGCACGAAUGGUGUAACCAUGGCCACGCUGUCUCCACCCGAGACUCAGUGAAAUUGAAAUCGCAGUGAAGAUGCUGUGUACCCGCGGCUAGACGGAAAGACCCCGUGAACCUUUACUACAGCUUGGCACUGAACAUUGACCCUACAUGUGUAGGAUAGGUGGGAGGCUUUGAAGCAGGAACGCUAGUUUCUGUGGAGCCGACCUUGAAAUACCACCCUUGUAGUGUUGAUGUUCUAACUUAGGCCCCUGAAUCGGGGUUGAGGACAGUGCCUGGUGGGUAGUUUGACUGGGGCGGUCUCCUCCCAAAGAGUAACGGAGGAGCACGAAGGUUUGCUAAGUACGGUCGGACAUCGUACGGUUAGUGUAAUGGUAGAAGCAAGCUUAACUGCGAGACAGACACGUCGAGCAGGUACGAAAGUAGGUCAUAGUGAUCCGGUGGUUCUGAAUGGAAGGGCCAUCGCUCAACGGAUAAAAGGUACUCCGGGGAUAACAGGCUGAUACCGCCCAAGAGUUCAUAUCGACGGCGGUGUUUGGCACCUCGAUGUCGGCUCAUCACAUCCUGGGGCUGAAGUCGGUCCCAAGGGUAUGGCUGUUCGCCAUUUAAAGUGGUACGCGAGCUGGGUUUAGAACGUCGUGAGACAGUUCGGUCCCUAUCUGCCGUGGGCGUUUGAGAAUUGAGAGGGGCUGCUCCUAGUACGAGAGGACCGGAGUGGACGAACCGCUGGUGUUCGGGUUGUGAUGCCAAUUGCAUUGCCCGGUAGCUACGUUCGGAACUGAUAACCGCUGAAAGCAUCUAAGCGGGAAGCAGGCCUCGAGAUGAGUUCUCACUUUGACUUAGAGUCAACUGAAGGGCCGUUGAAGACUACAACGUUGAUAGGCGAGAUGUGGAAGUGCUGUGAGGCAUUAAGCUAACUCGUACUAAUUACCCGAGAGGCUUAACCAU